This 772-nucleotide ribosomal RNA is filed under the name uncultured bacterium. Its description in RNAcentral is "bacterial SSU rRNA". It matches the Rfam family "Bacterial small subunit ribosomal RNA", at positions 8 to 796 of the family's 1533-position model. The record is from RNAcentral.
AGAGUUUGAUCAUGGCUCAGGACGAACGCUGGCGGCGUGCUUAACACAUGCAAGUCGAACGGAAAGGCCCUUCGGGGUACUCGAGUGGCGAACGGGUGAGUAACACGUGGGUGAUCUGCCCUGCACUUUGGGAUAAGCCUGGGAAACUGGGUCUAAUACCGAAUACACCUCACUGGCUGCAUGGUUGGCGGGGGAAAGCUUUUGCGGUGUGGGAUGGGCCCGCGGCCUAUCAGCUUGUUGGUGAGGUUACGGCUCACCAAGGCGACGACGGGUAGCCGGCCUGAGAGGGUGACCGGCCACACUGGGACUGGGAUACGGCCCAGACUCCUACGGGAGGCAGCAGUGGGGAAUAUUGCACAAUGGGCGCAAGCCUGAUGCAGCGACGCCGCGUGGGGGAUGACGGCCUUCGGGUUGUAAACUCCUUUCAGCACAGACGAAGCGCAAGUGACGGUAUGUGCAGAAGAAGGACCGGCCAACUACGUGCCAGCAGCCGCGGUAAUACGUAGGGUCCGAGCGUUGUCCGGAAUUACUGGGCGUAAAGAGCUCGUAGGUGGUUUGUCGCGUUGUUCGUGAAAACUCACAGCUUAACUGUGGGCGUGCGGGCGAUACGGGCAGACUUGAGUACUGCAGGGGAGACUGGAAUUCCUGGUGUAGCGGUGGAAUGCGCAGAUAUCAGGAGGAACACCGGUGGCGAAGGCGGGUCUCUGGGCAGUAACUGACGCUGAGGAGCGAAAGCGUGGGGAGCGAACAGGAUUAGAUACCCUGGUAGUCC